Long non-coding RNA from Phyllopteryx taeniolatus (common seadragon), 2540 nucleotides. RefSeq lists it as uncharacterized. Lineage: Eukaryota; Metazoa; Chordata; Actinopteri; Syngnathiformes; Syngnathidae. The record is from RefSeq and is a predicted model, not a curated record. The transcript has 5 exons.
ACGGUCACCUGCUCCAACAAAACGCUCCGGCAUAUCAAAUAGAAGCAGAUAACAUUCCUGGUGUGUCGUCAAGCAUGAGCACCGCUGAAAGCAACAUGUGACGCCACCAUAGGAGAGCAAACGCAUAUUGGCAGUGCGUCCGCAGUGGCAGGUGCAGGCAAAAGAUGGGCCCGCAGGACAAAGCGCAGCUCGAUCAUUUCGCCGAUGGAGCUGAUGGAUGGACAUUAGAGCUCAUAUGAGACAUACAACCUUGGAGGAGCCCAGAAGAAAACAACAGUCCCGCCGAACCCUGAGAGGCCUCAGCACUGCUCGAUAAGACGAGAUACAGACAGGAGAUACUGCUCGCAUUCCACCUGAUGGCAUUUAAGUGGAAGAGUGGACCUCCACAAACCUUUCUCUGAGAAACUCUUGGGUCUCUGCCAAUUGACAUGCAGCCAGACAGCACAGGCAAAGUCUUCUUCAGAUCAUCCUCAGGGAGCACACAAGUGGCACACUGUGAGGGAACAAAGCUUACUCAUCCUGAGUGACACACCAACAACAGGUCCUGUGACUAAUAAUGACAAAGCAGGCUGCUAUUUCACCUGUAGAAAAGAAAAGAGGAUUAGUCAGACGGUGACAUAUUGAUGGUGCGAGACAAGCUCUGGAUGGAAGUGGGGAGGUUUUUCAGUGCAGCGAUCAUGUGAGGUUCAAUGAGCAAGUCAUGUGGAGCUGAGACAAGUUGAAACUACAUGUUAUUGCCACAAAGUCUGGUCUGUGCGGCGUCUAGCAAGAUGUACUGGUUACAAAAACACCGAAAAUAUUGAGCACUUAUCAGCAACUCUGCUCGCAUAACACGACUGGCAAACAAAUAUGAUUGACUGAGACAACACUGAAAGUCAUGCGACAAGUACAGACAAGGUACAGUGCAUGUUGUCGAGAAACAUCCUUUGCUUUUCAGUCAUGAUUAACAAUUCUUUUUCGUUAUGAAACUAUUUGGGUUCAACACUAAAGGACAAGGUGUUCUCUUUCACAGAAAAACAUUGACACUUGAACAAUCAUAUAGGGUUAUUAAGAAAAAAGAAAACCAAUUUAGCAUGAAGACUGGGAACAAGUCACCUGGCUUUGUCCAAAGGCAACAAAACACUUACAAAUACUACAGGACACUUUGCAUGAAGUACUUUAGUUGUUGUUUGUAUGUUUCCUUAGCAACAUCUGGCAAGUUGGUACCAGCAGCACAUCAUAGCAAGAAUAAAGUCCUAUUUGCAUCAAGCAGAAACGUUUCUUUCAGUUUGGUAUGGUGUGCUAUUUUUGGUAUGGUUUCAUGUUUAUUUAUUUAUUUAUUUUUUUUGUCUUGUGAAAAGAAAUGAAAUUGUAUCAAAAUAGCCAUCCAUACCAUACUAUAUUUGGCAUCUUUUCUGUUGGUGUGGUGUGUAGUGAUAUUGUACCUAAAAGGUUGAACUAGAAGACUGCUCACCAUUUAUUGGUCAACGGAGAAUCGUCACUUCAGUGCUACAAAGAGAAUGGAAUACAAAAAACACACAGUUUGAUACUGUGGUUUACAACAGUGAGAUUGUAUACUUUAUAGGGCUAAAAAUGGACUCCUGCAGCAAAGUGGAGACUGUGGCGUAUAAUACUUUACUGCAGCAUCCAGAGUUUAGACAUGACAACAAGGUGUGCUAACACUAACGUGGAUUUAUUUUUGUGAUUUCUAGCGACGUAUCCUCAAAUGUUACUGUUGAAUCAGCUCGACUAGUGAGUUGCUAGUAGUGGUUUACGUCACCCUUCUGCCGUACAAUCAGCUCAAACUGCUUAGCACCGUAGCAAACCAGGUACUAGAAAUAGUAUCUUGACAUACCUGGUUUUGCUAGUGGAAAAGAGUCAAUAGUGAGUUGAGCCAUAGUAGGUAUCAUGCAGUGGAAACGGGGAAUAGAGUAUCUGCACAUUUGCAAUUUACUCUUCACGAAUGUAGACAUUCACAUUAUUUUUCUUUGAAAUGUACGCCCAGCUAUUCGCUAAAAAACUCACCUUUUUGCAUUUUAUGUGCGCUUUCUCAAGAUGGGGCCAUAGCCCUGUCUAAACAUAUAGUACAUAUUUGAUGUUAAGGAAGCAUGUUGAAGUGAUACAUCUUGAGUGAGAAACAAGCUUUGUAUGUGGAAAUGAGCUAAGUUUAGCCUAGGUUGUUAGUGGACGUUAUAGAGAGUCUUCACUGCAUGUGCAUGUACAUGCGAACUUCCAGUGUGUUUUGCAAAUAUCAAAUCAUCUGUAAAUCAUUUAUUUUCCAGGGUUAUGUUAAAAGAUGUCUCUGAAAUUAUAUUAAACUGAUGUGGGAUCAGUGUUUGUGGUAUGUGGUUUGUGCUAUAUUUACUGUUUAAACUAUUAAUAGAGGCAAUUCCAAACAUUUAACGUUAAUUACUUGUGGUUUUUCGCUAUUGACAGUAGGGCUCAGUCCCUAUUCUGGUAUGAUGUCAUAGUAGGCCUACUUAAUAUAGACAUCCCAUCUACACACCCCACAGCAAAAUAGAAAUCUAGACCAGGGUUUACCACUCCAAACUUUAUAGGCA